Molecule: transfer RNA, 91 nt
Filed under: Oceanibacterium hippocampi
Lineage: Bacteria; Pseudomonadati; Pseudomonadota; Alphaproteobacteria; Sneathiellales; Sneathiellaceae
Description: tRNA-Gln
Source: RNAcentral
GACGAUACCGGGCGGGUCCCGGUCGAGGGCGUUCUGGCCGCCUCCGGCAGUGACCGCAUCGUCAUCCGCCGUUCCGAUCCGCGUAUCGGCG